CUCGUAGUUGGAUCUCGGUGCCGGUCUGGCGGUCCGCCUCGCCGCGGUCUCACUGCCAGUCCCGGAGCCAUCCCGCCGGCCUUCCCUCGGUGCUCUUUACCGAGUGUCUUGGGUGACCGGAACGUUUACUUUGAACAAAUUAGAGUGCUCCAAGCAGGCGCGUCCCGCCCGCAUAGCCCAGCAUGGAAUAAUGGAAUAGGACCUCGGUUCUAUUUUGUUGGUUUUCGGAACCCGAGGUAAUGAUUAAUAGGGACAGACGGGGGCAUUCGUAUUGCGACGCUAGAGGUGAAAUUCUUGGACCGUCGCAAGACGAACUACUGCGAAAGCAUUUGCCAAGAAUGUUUUCAUUAAUCAAGAACGAAAGUUAGAGGUUCGAAGGCGAUCAGAUACCGCCCUAGUUCUAACCAUAAACGAUGCCGACCAGCGAUCCGCCGGAGAUCCUCCGAUGACUCGGCGGGCAGCUUCCGGGAAACC
RNAcentral lists this ribosomal RNA (474 nucleotides) under Craterostigmus tasmanianus. RNAcentral describes it as "SSU rRNA". It matches the Rfam family "Eukaryotic small subunit ribosomal RNA", at positions 627 to 1099 of the family's 1831-position model. The record is from RNAcentral. Lineage: Eukaryota; Metazoa; Arthropoda; Chilopoda; Craterostigmomorpha; Craterostigmidae.